CCGAUUCCUGAAGCAUCCCAUGUUUUUCUGUUGGCUGGUGUAGUCCAGUGGUGAGCGGAUUCUAAACCCCAGCCCAGGAAACAGGGUUGUUCUUCAUGUGGAUGACUCUGUGCCGAAAAGCAUGGGAUCAGAA
Molecule: small nucleolar RNA, 133 nt
Filed under: Myotis davidii
Lineage: Eukaryota; Metazoa; Chordata; Mammalia; Chiroptera; Vespertilionidae
Description: Small nucleolar RNA SNORA65
Rfam family: Small nucleolar RNA SNORA65
About the family: U65 belongs to the H/ACA class of snoRNAs which are thought to guide the sites of modification of uridines to pseudouridines.
Source: Rfam by way of RNAcentral